RNAcentral lists this long non-coding RNA (288 nucleotides) under Carica papaya (papaya). Its description in RNAcentral is "long non-coding RNA (CPAP_LNC009887)". The record is from RNAcentral. Lineage: Eukaryota; Viridiplantae; Streptophyta; Magnoliopsida; Brassicales; Caricaceae.
AGAAAAUAUUGAAGUAAAGAGUUAGACUAAGUAACAAAUGAAAUUGGAGGAAAAUCUCAUUUUUAUGUGCAGCAAAUAUAGAACUAGGUUGGUAUACAUGUGUUUAUCAAGUAUAUAGAAAUGUAGAAAAUGAAAAAAGAAUUUAAAGCAACGUGGGUGAGAUCUUAAGUAAGAAUGACAACACGUCAUGCUCGUGAUGGCUUUUCCAAAACUUGAACUUGAUCUAAACAUGAAUAAAGAAAAACUAAGCUCUCUAUUGAUCCAAACAUGUCAGCUUCAAGAUCAUAU